CUACGGGAGGCAGCAGUAAGGAAUAUUGGUCAAUGGACGGAAGUCUGAACCAGCCAUGCCGCGUGCAAGAAGAAGGCCCUACGGGUUGUAAAUUGCUUUUAAUCGAGAAUAACAGUAACUACGUGUAGUUGUAUGAAAGUAUCGAUAGAAUAAGGAUCGGCUAACUCCGUGCCAGCAGCCGCGGUAAUACGGAGGAUCCGAGCGUUAUCCGGAUUUAUUGGGUUUAAAGGGUGCGUAGGCGGCCUAUUAAGUCAGGGGUGAAAACUUGCAGCUUAACUGUAAGCGUGCCUUUGAUACUGAUGGGCUUGAAUUAAGAUGAAGUAGGCGGAAUGUGACAAGUAGCGGUGAAAUGCAUAGAUAUGUCACAGAACACCAAUUGCGAAGGCAGCUUACUAAGGUUAAAUUGACGCUGAGGCACGAAAGCGUGGGGAUCAAACAGGAUUAGAUACCCUGGUAGUCCACGCCCUAAACGAUGAAUACUCGAUGUUAGCGAUAUACAGUUAGCGUCAA
This 510-nucleotide ribosomal RNA is filed under the name uncultured bacterium. Its description in RNAcentral is "bacterial SSU rRNA". It matches the Rfam family "Bacterial small subunit ribosomal RNA", at positions 339 to 849 of the family's 1533-position model. The record is from RNAcentral.